Brassica rapa (field mustard) is the source of this 643-nucleotide long non-coding RNA. RefSeq lists it as uncharacterized. The record is from RefSeq and is a predicted model, not a curated record. NCBI's taxonomy places the organism in Eukaryota, Viridiplantae, Streptophyta, Magnoliopsida, Brassicales, Brassicaceae.
UGCAAACAUCCGGCCUGGAAAGUGAAAACAGAAACUCUCUCCCCCUAACCCUAAUACAGCUUAAACUAACCCACGAAGAUCGUCUCUCAUCUUCAUGCGGCUGCGGUGACGUUUGCGCUUACUGUAACAGACUUCUUUAUGGAUUCCUCUUUAAUCCUGUUGAUUUAUUCUCCCAUGAUGUGUCUUCGAUGCGUUGAUUAGGUCUGAAAGGCGGUGUGUGUUCAGCAUAAAUAUGUGAGCAAUCCUCAUCUUGGACUCAUCUUUUCUUUCAAUUCUCUGAAAGUAUCUCAGGUUAAGCGAGGCGGCGAGGGUCGACACACUCCUCAUGUACGCCAAGGGUUGACAUCGCCAUUAACGAUCGUCUAACUCUUCGACCCACUCCAACCACGAUUCACAAUUCAAUGCGUUGUUCCUUUCUACAAGGCGGUAGAUCUCCAGCUAUAAGAAGAUAUGUGUUGUUGAUGAGACCGACCGACGAAGCUGUUUUGAUUACCAGUAUCCAGUUUCAAAGGUCUCGGUUACACUAGAACAAGAAGUUCUCACAACGCUUACACAAAUACAUCGAUUUGUGAGAAUAAUCUUACGUCCCAAGUUUUUUAAAACUAUAAACUGAUUCUUCCAAUGGCGUUCCCACGAGAACAAG